This 1556-nucleotide ribosomal RNA is filed under the name Escherichia coli. RNAcentral describes it as "bacterial SSU rRNA". It matches the Rfam family "Bacterial small subunit ribosomal RNA". Lineage: Bacteria; Pseudomonadati; Pseudomonadota; Gammaproteobacteria; Enterobacterales; Enterobacteriaceae. The record is from RNAcentral.
AACUUUUAAAUUGAAGAGUUUGAUCAUGGCUCAGAUUGAACGCUGGCGGCAGGCCUAACACAUGCAAGUCGAACGGUAACAGGAAACAGCUUGCUGUUUCGCUGACGAGUGGCGGACGGGUGAGUAAUGUCUGGGAAACUGCCUGAUGGAGGGGGAUAACUACUGGAAACGGUAGCUAAUACCGCAUAACGUCGCAAGACCAAAGAGGGGGACCUUAGGGCCUCUUGCCAUCGGAUGUGCCCAGAUGGGAUUAGCUAGUAGGUGGGGUAAAGGCUCACCUAGGCGACGAUCCCUAGCUGGUCUGAGAGGAUGACCAGCCACACUGGAACUGAGACACGGUCCAGACUCCUACGGGAGGCAGCAGUGGGGAAUAUUGCACAAUGGGCGCAAGCCUGAUGCAGCCAUGCCGCGUGUAUGAAGAAGGCCUUCGGGUUGUAAAGUACUUUCAGCGGGGAGGAAGGGAGUAAAGUUAAUACCUUUGCUCAUUGACGUUACCCGCAGAAGAAGCACCGGCUAACUCCGUGCCAGCAGCCGCGGUAAUACGGAGGGUGCAAGCGUUAAUCGGAAUUACUGGGCGUAAAGCGCACGCAGGCGGUUUGUUAAGUCAGAUGUGAAAUCCCCGGGCUCAACCUGGGAACUGCAUCUGAUACUGGCAAGCUUGAGUCUCGUAGAGGGGGGUAGAAUUCCAGGUGUAGCGGUGAAAUGCGUAGAGAUCUGGAGGAAUACCGGUGGCGAAGGCGGCCCCCUGGACGAAGACUGACGCUCAGGUGCGAAAGCGUGGGGAGCAAACAGGAUUAGAUACCCUGGUAGUCCACGCCGUAAACGAUGUCGACUUGGAGGUUGUGCCCUUGAGGCGUGGCUUCCGGAGCUAACGCGUUAAGUCGACCGCCUGGGGAGUACGGCCGCAAGGUUAAAACUCAAAUGAAUUGACGGGGGCCCGCACAAGCGGUGGAGCAUGUGGUUUAAUUCGAUGCAACGCGAAGAACCUUACCUGGUCUUGACAUCCACGGAAGUUUUCAGAGAUGAGAAUGUGCCUUCGGGAACCGUGAGACAGGUGCUGCAUGGCUGUCGUCAGCUCGUGUUGUGAAAUGUUGGGUUAAGUCCCGCAACGAGCGCAACCCUUAUCCUUUGUUGCCAGCGGUCCGGCCGGGAACUCAAAGGAGACUGCCAGUGAUAAACUGGAGGAAGGUGGGGAUGACGUCAAGUCAUCAUGGCCCUUACGACCAGGGCUACACACGUGCUACAAUGGCGCAUACAAAGAGAAGCGACCUCGCGAGAGCAAGCGGACCUCAUAAAGUGCGUCGUAGUCCGGAUUGGAGUCUGCAACUCGACUCCAUGAAGUCGGAAUCGCUAGUAAUCGUGGAUCAGAAUGCCACGGUGAAUACGUUCCCGGGCCUUGUACACACCGCCCGUCACACCAUGGGAGUGGGUUGCAAAAGAAGUAGGUAGCUUAACCUUCGGGAGGGCGCUUACCACUUUGUGAUUCAUGACUGGGGUGAAGUCGUAACAAGGUAACCGUAGGGGAACCUGCGGUUGGAUCACCUCCUUACCUUAAA